UACGGAGGGUGCAAGCGUUAUCCGGAUUCACUGGGUUUAAAGGGUGCGUAGGUGGGCUAGUAAGUCCGUGGUGAAAUCCCCGAGCUUAACUCGGGAACUGCCGUGGAUACUAUUAGUCUUGAAUAUCGUGGAGGUAAGCGGAAUGUGUCAUGUAGCGGUGAAAUGCUUAGAUAUGACAUAGAACACCGAUAGCGGAGGCAGCUUACUACGCGAUUAUUGACACUGAGGCACGAAAGCGUGGGGAUCAAACAGG
RNAcentral lists this ribosomal RNA (253 nucleotides) under uncultured bacterium. RNAcentral describes it as "partial 16S ribosomal RNA". It matches the Rfam family "Bacterial small subunit ribosomal RNA", at positions 524 to 776 of the family's 1533-position model. The record is from RNAcentral.